Molecule: ribosomal RNA, 497 nt
Filed under: uncultured bacterium
Lineage: Bacteria
Description: partial 16S ribosomal RNA
Rfam family: Bacterial small subunit ribosomal RNA
Source: RNAcentral
GAUGAACGCUGGCGGCGUGCCUAAUACAUGCAAGUCGAGCGAACAGACGAGGAUCUUGCUCCUCUGACGUUAGCGGCGGACGGGUGAGUAACACGUGUAUAACCUACCUAUCUGACUGGUAUAACUUCGGGAAACCGGAGCUAAUACCGGAUAAUCUAUUGAACCGCAUGGUUCAAUAGUGAAAGACGGUUUUGCUGUCACUUAUAGAUGGAUCCGCGCCGCAUUAGCUAGUUGGUAAGGUCACGGCUUUCCAAGGCAACGAUGCGUAGCCGACGUGAGAGGGGGAUAGGCCACAUGGGAACUGAGACACGGUCAAGGCGCCUGCGAGACGGAGCAGUAGGGUAUGGGACGCAGUGGGGGAAAACAUGACGGAGCGGCGCGGAGUGUGAGACGGAGAUCUUGGGAGCGUAAAACUCUGUUAUUGGGGAAAAACAAAUGUGUAAGGAGCUGUGGAGGUAUUGACGGUAACUAAUCAAGAAGCCCCGGCUAACUACGUG